RNAcentral lists this ribosomal RNA (460 nucleotides) under uncultured bacterium. RNAcentral describes it as "partial 16S ribosomal RNA". It matches the Rfam family "Bacterial small subunit ribosomal RNA", at positions 338 to 795 of the family's 1533-position model. The record is from RNAcentral.
CCUACGGGAGGCAGCAGUGAGGAAUAUUGGUCAAUGGGCGCGAGCCUGAACCAGCCAAGUCGCGUGAGGGAGGACGGCCCUACGGGUUGUAAACCUCUUUUGCCGGGGAGCAACGGGCGCCACGUGUGGCGUCACUGAGAGUACCCGGAGAAAAAGCAUCGGCUAACUCCGUGCCAGCAGCCGCGGUAAUACGGAGGAUGCGAGCGUUAUCCGGCUUGAUUGGGUUUAAAGGGUGCGUAGGCGGAUUUUUAAGUCAGCGGUAAAAUGUCCGGGCUCAACCCGGGCCGGCCGUUGAAACUGGGGGGCUUGAGUGGGCGAGAAGGAGGCGGAAGGCGUGGUGUAGCGGUGAAAUGCAUAGAUAUCACGAAGAACUCCGAUUGCGAAGGCAGCAUACCGGCGCCCGACUGACGCUGAGGCACGAAAGCGUGGGGAUCGAACAGGAUUAGAUACCCGUGUAGUC